GAGUGAUCUUUGCUUUUAUUGCAGUUAAUAAAAAUACACCAGACCAGUUAGCCCUCCAAGGAAUAGUUUACACCAUUUUUAUAAACUCCCAAAACACACAGUUUUACAAGCAAAUUGUAGAGUAUUGUCCCUGGUUUUGGUUGUUGGGUUUGGUUUUUUUUACAUUACUUAACAAGUGACAGAAGAGCUGUAGGGAUCCACCACAAGAGCAAUAACAAUAAAGGCAGCAGUUGCUAUGAGUGAAGACUACAUGUUCAUACAGACCUUUCCAUACACAUAAAUCAAGUUCUAAAAUUAUUAACACCUAUUCCAGACCAGGGGAAGGAGCUGCAGCCAUUCUGCCCAGUGGCUGACUGUUAAAGGCCAAGAGAUAGAAAAGACAGAUUAUAGAGAUAUAAAUAAACAUUUCAAGCAAAGAUCACAUUUCACAACAAGCUAAUUAGGACAAAAUACACCUCACCCCAUAGAUUGAACCAACAGCCUACAAUCCAUAGGGAAAGACAGGCCUCAUUACACACUCAUAGCUGUGAACAGCAUGUAUGGUUGAUGGGGUUUUUUCUGCAGCAGUUACUGGGGGAUUCACCCUGGUCUGGGGGUCGACUCUGAUGUGUCUCUUAUCCAGCAGUGGGAGCACAUAGUCUGGAAGCAUCCUCGUUGUGUUUUCUGCAUUGCUUCUGGAAUAGCUGCACCAGGGAUGGUCACAGGGCAGGACACGCAGACACCAGCAGAUCCAUGUAAAAAGUCAUCAGUUUUUUAACAGCCAGGAAUUUUCCCUCCAAAGAACCUUCUUUCCCCCUAAAAUUACAUUUUUGCAUGAAGGAUGUAUUUUAUAAUAUCCUUCCUUUCCCCCCCUACCUUCUAGCUCCUUUUACAAACUGGUAUUUUUCUAAGUAGGAUUUUACAAUGUGGCAGAGCUUACUAUAUCAUAGAAUCAUAGAAUGGUUUGGGUUGAAGGGACCUGAAAGCUCAUUCAGUUCCAACCCCCUGCCACGGGCAGGGACACCUUCCACUAGAGCAGGUUGCUCCAAGCCCCUGUGUCCAACCUGGCCUUGAACACUGCCAGGGAUGGGGCAGCCACAGCUUCUCUGGGCACCCUGUGCCAGGCCCUCAGCACCCUCACAGGGAAGAACUUCUUCC
RNAcentral lists this long non-coding RNA (1137 nucleotides) under Strigops habroptila (Kakapo). Its description in RNAcentral is "lncRNA (ENSSHBG00005013444.1)". Lineage: Eukaryota; Metazoa; Chordata; Aves; Psittaciformes; Psittacidae. The record is from RNAcentral.